This 459-nucleotide ribosomal RNA is filed under the name uncultured bacterium. Its description in RNAcentral is "partial 16S ribosomal RNA". It matches the Rfam family "Bacterial small subunit ribosomal RNA", at positions 338 to 795 of the family's 1533-position model. The record is from RNAcentral.
CCUACGGGUGGCAGCAGUGAGGAAUAUUGGUCAAUGGCCGGAAGGCUGAACCAGCCAAGCCGCGUGAAGGACGAAGGUGCCAAGCAUUGUAAACUUCUUUUGUCAAGGGACAAACUCAGGCUCGAGAGCCUGACCGAGGGUACUUUAAGAACAAGAAUCGGCUAACUCCGUUCCAGCCGCCGCGGUAAUACGGAGGGUGCGAGCGUUAUCCGGAUUUAUUGGGUUUAAGGGGUGCGUAGGCGGACUGUUAAGUCAGCGGUAAAAGCCCGGGGCUCAACCCCGGCGAGCCGUUGAAACUGGCUGUCUUGAGAUGUCGAGAGGUAGGCGGAAUGCGAAGUGUAGCGGUGAAAUGCUUAGAUAUUGCGAAGAACUCCGAUUGCGAAGGCAGCAUACCGGAGGCGAUCUGACGCUGAGGCACGAAAGCGUGGGUAUCGAACAGGAUUAGAUACCCGAGUAGUC